RNAcentral lists this long non-coding RNA (12476 nucleotides) under Vigna radiata. RNAcentral's name for it is "long non-coding RNA (VRAD_LNC006938)". The record is from RNAcentral. Lineage: Eukaryota; Viridiplantae; Streptophyta; Magnoliopsida; Fabales; Fabaceae.
GGGCAUCGGUAAUGGUGCAAUGACUUAUCGAAGGAAUAGGACCGUUGGUAUAAGCUUCCCCUUAAGUGAAUUAAUGAAAUCAAAAUUUGGGAUUUCCUCUCCCAUUCUCCCAAAUUAUGUUUUAAAGCUUCCCCUCAAGUGAGAAGUUCUUCCCGUUCAGAAGCCCCAACCCUAACCACUAUUUACACUAUUUUGCAGUCGCCCAUUGCCUUUCCGCCCUUCCCCGCUUUUGUGAUUACACAUUUGUCUUCAAUCACUGUGUGGUAGGUUUCUUUUGUGGAAGGAGAGUUUCAGUGAGGAGGGUGGUGGUUGACGUGAGGGAUUACAUUGUUGGGAGGGGCCUAUUUGAACAUUGUCGUGGCAUGACGAGGGUGCUGUGGCAGCGUGACCAGGGCUUCCACUAUCGCGACGAGGCCAAUCUAGGGGCUCUAUGACGAAGGGGCUCUCACUACGUGAGGAAGGCUUCGACUAUCGUGAAGGAGGCUAUUGGAGGGGCUGAUACACCUAGGUGGUGUUGCUGCGGUAGAGGUGAGUUCUGUAUUUUGUGAAUGAUGAAGAAUUUGUUGAUGAAGGGUUGAUGAAGAAUUUGAUGUGUCGUUGUUAAAUGUAUGCAGUGUUAUGUAUUUUUCUCUAAAUUGGUUUGGUACUUUGUUCCGUGAAUGAACAAGAUGUUGAAAUUAUGUGUAGUAGGUUUGCUUUGAAACCUUGGCCCCUAUCGGAUCCAUUUGAUUUUACUUGAUGAACAAUAAACCUUUCAUUUGUGAAUGAAUUUGGUUGUUGAAUUUGAGGCUUAUUAUAUGUAUUUGUUGUUGUAAUUAGCCUUAUUAUACGUAAUGGGUUGAAGACUGAGCAAUCAAUGGUUGACUAAACAUAUACAAUUUCAUCACUACAUUAACCCUACAUUAAAUUCAUCAGUAGGGAAGAUGAAUUUAAUUUAAUGAUAUGUUUAGUAGUUUUUAACAUUAUUAGAGUUCUUUAGGCUGUUAGUUAUGUUGGAAGUUGUAUUUUGUGGAAUUGAAAUGAAUGCUAUGUUAUUAGGUUUUGGAAUGGAAGGUUUGAAUCUAAGGGAUUCUUUGGCUGUUAUGAUAUAUCUGGGUGGGAUUAAUCAGAAUUGGUAAUAACUUUAAGUUUACAUGUUUCUCUACAAAUCAAUUUGGUUUGAUAUGGUUGUAUGUGUCUGGGACUGUCCUAAGCUUUAUUUAAUUAUCUUUAGUGUAAUUAAAGGUUUGGAUUCAGUUUCUUGGGUAGUUUAAAUAUGUUUGGGUAUAUCUGGAGCUGGUUGGAAUGGAAAUAGAGAAUUAGAGGUAGGUUCAAACUGUUUAGACACAUUUUCGUUUUGAAUAUAAUAUCAUUGCAUUAAAGUUAUUACUUUGUGCUAAUGUAAUUUGUUCAUUAUUGUACAAGGGCUGCAGUUGAAGUCAAGUGUCCAAGAUUUCAUCAUUUCCAAGUAGGUAAUGUUCGUCCUCUUCUGCUUGCGUUGCUUCAUUUUGGGUAUUAAUUGCGUUAUGAAUUGAGACCGAAUUACAAUUGAAUUUGUUUUAUAAAUUUCACAAUUUGAGCAAUUUUAGCAUGUAUGAAUUGUCUGUUUUGCUUAUAGCCUUGAUGGGAAUUAAAUUGUGCAAAUUGAGCAUGGAAACUUAUGUAGAUGCUUUAUUUUAGUUUGUUUCUGAUUGAUCUGUCUAAAAGCCUAUAGAUUGAAGACACUUUUGUGUUCUCUAAUUUCAAAAACUAUAUCAAUUGAUAACAAACCUAAUGAAAGAGGAGAUAAAGUACUUGCUUUAAGGUUGCCACUAAGAAUAAGAGUGGGAACAAGCUAAAUAUACAUAGUUGGGAUGUUUGAGAUAACAUUUAACAUGACCUCAUAAAUAAAGAUAAAGGUAAAUGCAACAAAGUAUAGUUAUCAAAACUUGAACUGAAUAGUUUAGUAUCAACUACCACUGAGUUAAAGCCUACUUACCUACUUUGUUAUCUUUUUUUGAUGAUAAAAAGAAUAUUGUUUCACAUCACAAGUAUGGACUGAUACUGCCUCUCACCUUGUAAAGUAAGGUGAGAGGCAAAGAGAUGAUGUUCUCUAAGAAAGACCUUUUUGACAUGGCUAAGGUGCUCUUGAAGACCUUGACUAUAGAUUAAGAUGUCAUCGAAGUAGACCAUUACAAACCUCCCUACGUAUUCCCUAAGGACAUGGUUCAUCAAUCUCAUGAAUGUACUAGGAGCAUUGGUGAAGCCAAAGGGAAUGACUAACCAUUCAUACAAACCAAACUUGGUCUUGAAAGCGGUUUUCCAUUCAUCUCCUUCUUUAAUUCUUAUUUGACGAUAUCUGCUUUUGAGAUCAAUUUUCGUAAAAUUGUUUGCUACAUGUAAGUCAUCCAACAUGUCAUCCAAUCUAGGAAUGGGGUGCCUAUAUUUGACAGUUAUGUUGUUGAUGACCCUACAAUCUGUGCACAUUCUCCAGGAUCCAUCCUUCUUUGGAACCAACAACACUGGCACAGCACAAGGACUUAGGCUCUUUUGGAUCCACACUUUAUUCAAUAAUUCAUUAACUUGUUUCUUUAUUUCUUUUGUUUCCAUGGGGUUGGUCCUAUAGGUUGGCCUAAUAGGAAGGCUUGCCCUAGGCACCAUAUCUAUUUGAUGUUCUACUCCCCUCAAAGGUGGUAAACCAAUUGAUACCUCUUUAGGAAAUAAAUCAUCAAACUCUUUUAAAAGUUUUUGCAACCCCUAUGGUAGAGAACCAAGUUCAUAAUUUACUGAAACAAGUGCCUCUUUGCAAUAGAGAAAAAAAGGAGGUUGUCCAAGCAAAAUAUUUUUAGAAAUUUUCAAAGUUUGGGGUUGGACAACUUCUUUGGUUGAGGCAUUAUUUACCAAACUAAUAUUCUUCUCUUUUUUCUCUUUCCUAUUUUCCUUUUUUUUUCUCCAUCCAACUUCUUCUUAAGAAUUAUUUGGUCCUCUCUCACUUGUAAUGGUGUAAGAGGACACAAAACAAUCUUCUUGCCCUUGUGUUGAAUGGUGAUUUUGUUGGUGACUCCAUCAUGUAGAGCUUGCUUAUCAAAUUGUCAAGGCCUUCCAAGUAAUAUGUGCCCAGCUUCCAUUGGUACUAUAUAACAAACAAUUUGGUCUUCAUAUUUUCCAAUGGAAAUUGGUACACUCACUUGUUCUUGACUACUAUUCCUUCAUCCUCUUUGAUCCAUUGAAGUUUAUAAGGUUUAGGAUGAGGAGUAGUAGUUAAGCCUAGCUUCUCUACCAUUCUUGAACUGAAACAGUUACAAUAAAAGCCACUAUCCACAAUCAUUGAACAUGUCUUUUCAAAAACUUUACAUCUUGUGUGAAAUAUGUUCUCCUUUUGUGAGUGUUCUAGCUCAGCAUGUUUACUUUCAAGGAGUCUCCUUACCAUGAGUAAGUCACCAUCACAAGGUAAAGCUUCUUCUUCUUCAGAAGUGGAUGUUUCAGACUCACUAUAUGAAGAACCCUCACUUUCACUCUUGCUCAAGAAUGUAAGUUGACCUUCUAUUGCAACACUCAGAUGCAUAGUGCCCUUUUUUUCCCCACAUCUAAAGCACUUAGUCUCCUUAUUUCUAUUGUCUCUUGAAGGUUCUUUCAUUUUCUCUUUCUUUUCUUUCUCUCUCUCUCUCUCUCUCUCUCUCUCUCUCUCUCUCUCUCCUUAGAUCCUUCAUACCUUGGCUUAGAUAGACUACCCUCCCUCUUAUAUUCUUUCUUAUGGAUAGAACUAGUAGGGUAGUCCUUUUUAGUGGAGCCUUUCCUCUUGAGUUGUUGCUCUACUCUUACACAAAGUUGGACUAAUUCAUUGAGAUCAUUAUAAGUUAAGAGUUCUACCUUAUCUCUUAUAUUAUAGUUAAGUCCACUUUGGAACCUAGCAAUUGUUAUCCUUGGCUCCACCCUUAUCCCAGCUCUCAACAUAAGUAACUCUAUUUUUUGCCUAUAUUCCUCAACACUCACGUUUCUUUGUUGGAGUUUAUGGAGUUUUUACAUUAACUCCCUAUCAUAAUAAGCUAGCACAUGCCGUCUUCUUAAGGCAAACCUCAACUCAUUCCAAUACCUAAUGGAAGGUAGGUGUCUUAAUCUAAGGUCUUUUACCAAGGUUGUCCACCAAUAUAAGGCAUAGCCUUGAAAGGUCAAAGAGGUCAUAAUUACUCCCUUCUUAUCAUCUAUUUGGUGCCACUCAAACAAUUUCAACUUUCAUCUCCCAUUCCAAAUAUUCUUCCACAUCAUCUUUUCCAUGGAAGGAAGGAAGGUCAAUCUUGGUUUCACUUGGGUGAUGUUCUCUCAUUCUAUGAUUUCUCCUAGGAGGUAUUUGAUAGUGGUCAUCAUUGUGAUUACUACUAUAUUGCUCAUGCUCACUAGGUGGAGAGGAUGUAUCUCCAUGGUAUUUUAUUCUUCUAUGUGAAGACCCUUCUUUCUUUUUACCCUUGUUUUGAUUGAACAAAAGUUGACCAGUCAUCUCCUUGAGCUCAUUAAUCUCUUUGUCCCUUUGUUGGAACUUUUUUUCAAAUUCUUCUCUUAGUUGUGAGCUCUCACUGUUAGGUCUCAUACUCCCAUAGACACUAGAUUGACUCAUUCUCGUUAAGUAUGUAGAAAUGGUUUUCACAAGGUUUUCAAAACUUGCACAAGUAAUGAGUGAAAAGAUUUUUACAAACUUUCUUGUUUUUGGUGAAGGAUUUCUAAAGAGAUUCUAAAGGUAUAAAAUGUUUCCAAAUAGCUCCCAGGAAGAAGAGGUGAUCCACAAUUGGACAAGCUUAAAAACCAAGUUCUUCCCAGCCAGAGUUUCCUUAGAUUUGUCUUUUACCUUAGGUAGAAAUCUUUCAAAAUAUUUUCAAAUGCUUAAUGAAAUGCUCCUAAAAAUCAAAAGAAAGGUUUAACUAAAUGUUAUGUUAUCCUAUAUACCACGGAGACUUAAAACAAAAAAGUCAAGCAAGCAAUUUAAAGAAAGCAAUAAAGAUGCAAAAUGUAAAUGCUAGACGACCCUAAGUGAAAGUGCAAGUGACACUUGGAGUCCCUUGACACACUUUCACACUAAGGAAACGAAAGCAAGAUAUUACAAUGUUCAAAGGUGAGCUUGGAAUUGCUUCAAGACCAUUUUCCCAAGUCACUUAGCCAAAAACCAAAAUGAAAUUUAAACUACAAAGGUUCCGUGAUAUAAAGGCUCAAACAAGCUCAAAAUAUUGCCUAAAACUAGUAUAGGCUUCAAGCUUUGGCUGUUCUUGUGUGCUACUCAAAAAGAGUAUGUUGGUUGAGCUUUUUCUGGUGUGAAAUGCUGUUGGAAACAACAACUCUACAACUGUUGGACAGGUUGCUAAAACUGCUGUAAAGCCCUCCUUGCUCCAAUUUCAAUCCCCUAACCACUUGAAGCUACCAUAGUAGGUGUAGGUUUCUGCCUCUGGAUGCCUCAAUCAGAAUCCAUAGCUACUCCAAAACUCACCAGAAACACACCAAACAGUUUUAAAAAUCUGCAUCAGUUUUCAGCAUAUGGUUUUUCUGAAUUGAAAAACUUGGAAGCCAAAAAAUGAGGAAUUCAAAUGGAACUCGCAGAAUUAAAAAUAGAAGAAACAGUGGACUGGAAUACUGAAACAGAAAGCACAACAAAAUGCAGAAAUGAAAUAGAAAAUGGAGGAAAUAGCUUAGCUCCUGGUGCUUGGACGGCCUAAGCUCAUGAUACCACUUGAUGGAAACAUGCCCAGGCUUGGAACUCACAGGUAGCAACUCCAAGACAACAAGCUUUGAUGGUGCAGCGGAAUGAAUGAAAGUGAGUGAUGUUUUGGUGUUUUUUAGUGGAAAGAGUGUGUGUAGAGACCUCACAGCUUAGAAGGCCUUCCUACUAUGGAAGGAAGUUAGAGGAAAGGGUUGAGAAAAUGAAGAGAAAGAGUGGCUCAAGAGCAAUAGGGCUGGAAAACAAAUUCAACAGCAUUUUACUAAGACCAAAAGUGAAAAAUUACAAUGGAGAGGCCCUCUUAUCUAUAGGUGAAAAAGGGCCUCAAAUCUGGUCCAAAUUCCCUCCAAAAUUCAAAUGAAACUCGAGCUUGGAGGCCAAGCUAGUUGGGUCACGUUUCCCUCUCCAAACACACAAGGAAAGCAUGUGCAUUUCAAAAUCUGAUGCGGCUGGGCCUGGCACGUUUUUGGCUGGGCCAUUUCAAAAUCCGGAAGGUAUUUUUCUUCAUGAUUCCAAUCCGGAAGCCAACUGCUAAAUCCAGAAUUCACUCCAUUUUCUCCCCUUUUUAGCUCCUUUGCUUUCCUUGGCUUCUCAAGCUUCUUGGGUAGCUCAACCAUGAUCUCUAAGCUUUAUUAGACCCUAUAAAACAAUAGUAUAAAUGUUUAUGGCAGGAGAAGAAGGAUUUUUUAUAAAUAACCUUCCAUAGAAGUAAAGUGUUAAGUGAUUCUUCUUCUUGAAUCUUCCAUGCUAUGGUUCUAGUAAGAGGUGCAAUGUGAUUCCUUGAUGGUCUUUCAUCAAUCAAUCUGUGUUGGGGAAUAAUGUUAGUCAUGAAGUGCUCUCGCAAUUUGGUUUCACGUAGAGAAGAGGUUUGUUUCAAACGUGGUGGAUGUUCGGAUAUGGAAGAUAAUUUAAUAUACCAGAAAUGUUACCCACAAAUUAGUUUGAUAAAUUUAUUAUUAUUAAUGAUUUUAUUUCUUAAAAUGGUUCAAAGAAUAGGAAUAUAAAAUAAAAAUGUAUUUAUGCAUAUUAUUCAAACAUACGUAAUGGGAAAUAUUCAAAUUAAUUAUGUAUAAAUAUUUGUAUGGAUAAUAUUUAACCUUUUAAAUAAGAUGUGUGGGAAAAUAUAAAAGGUAUUACAAUUCUUUAUAUUUUGUUUGCUUAGUUAAGAUAAAUAUUUGAAGUUAGAGUUAUUUUUUCUAAGAGCUAAUAUUUUGAAUUAAGCGAAUAUUUCUAAGUCGUCACAACAUAAUCUAAAUCACUAAANAAAAUACAUUUUAAAAUUAAAUACUAUAAAAGAGUUUAAAAAUAAAAAAUGUUAAUUAUAUUCAAACGAAAUAUACAAUACUACAAUAUCUAAACUUUAACUUACAAUGUUACGAGAGAAUGAAGAACCAUGAGAGAAUAACGUUGCAAGAGAAAGAGUGACACCAAAGAGGGAGACACUAAAUAGAAGAAAGAAUUGUGAGGCAUCAUAGGAGAAAAUCAGAAGUAUGCGUGGCAGCCAUCAUCUAGAAUUUUUUGUUUGUCUGUUGUCUUGCUUUUCAAACCUUUCGUUGAUAUUGUUGUGUGCUCUUUAACUUUCUUUUUAUCCCCUUUGCAUUCCUUUCUAAUUCUAACAUCAAUUACAUUUUCACUUUAAUUGCAUUAUGGUUUCCAACUCAAAGUGUUCUUAAAAUAAUUUCAAGAAAGGAAAUUUUAAGAAAAACCAUUUUAAACCAAUUCAUUCUCUCUUUAUGUAACAGAGUCAUCCAUUUUUUUUCUAAAAGAUAUCCAACAAAGAAUAAAGAAUGUAUGUGUAAUAUAGUAUUAGUCCGAAAUGUGACCUUAAGCGUCGGCCUACACAAACGUGAUAACUAACAACCAAAUACGCUAUGUGUGACUCCAGGACGGUACCGUGAGGGCUAGGGUUCCAAGGUGGCACUUACUCAACAAAAUCCAUUACCCGAGAAAGGAGGUAUUAUUAACCAUUUGCAUCUACAAAUAUACCCAGGCAAUUUAAUAAAAAAAUUAAUUUAAAUACUUAUGACUCAACAGCUUUGCACAUCUUUAGCUAAAACAAAAUAUAUAAUAUUGGUAUACUGAAGUUAUUAAUGAAAAUGUUAAUACAAAUACAACAAACAAACAUUGGACCUUCAUAAGGCUUCUAAUUCCAUCUUGAUCGUACAACAAAUCUGUCUCGUAAUGUAACAAAAUAAAUGGCAUGAGAUCAUUUUGGCCUUCUAGCAAAAACCUGUUGGACAGUAGGCAACUUAGUCCCAGUGGUUGGAGGUUUGNAGUUAGGAGGUGGUCUUGUCGUAGGAGCAAGAACAUUCUGAAUGCUUGUCUUCUGGGAACUCAUUCUGUCAAAAUUGCUUAAAUUUGGUGUUGGUUUUAGUUUGUGUAUGGAAAAUGAAACAUGGGCAUGUGGGUGGUAUGUAUUUAUAGCCAUUAAUUUGUUCAAUUAAUGCAUGGAAGUUACCAAAUGAUUGAUGGUGUAAUAUACAAAGAAAUUCCUGUUAUUUUCAUGUUUAAUUUCCAAACUUUGAAAUAUAAGGGUUUGUGUGAUCAUAUGUAUAUAUAUGCAUAUGUAAGUAGCUUGCUGCACAAGGAUAAAUAUACACGGUGAAUGGGGCCCAAUUAUGUAAUUAACAAUAAGUAUAAAUGUGUAUGUGACUUCAAAUAACAAGUUUGCCUUAAGCUGUAAAAUCUGUGACGAAAAUUCUCAUUCUCAAAUGUUCAAAGUGUUGAACUUUGAAUACGCGUCAUGCAUGGCUCUAGUAUAUCUCUCUGCAUUUACAUCUUCAUUUACCAUUAUUUUCACUUUUCUAUUUUACCUUUACAAUACAAACAAUGUGAAAUUUUUUUGAAAGUUUUUUUUGUGUGCAAACAAACCCAAUAAAUACCAUAAAUGUUUUAUACUUUGGGUCUUUAAAUAUGCUCUCCUUCCACAGUAUUCUAUUGGAGAGUGAAAGCUUAAAGUUGUAUAAGUACAUUAGGAAGGGGUAUUGCACCAACAUCAAUAACGGGAGUUUUGUUUCAUAUUUUUGCUUUUCAAAAAGGUUUAUACAAGAUAAAUCAAAGAGACAAUUUAACUACUGUUUGUUUGUAUGAAUCAAAACUUGAAUUGGAGUUCAUUUGAUUUCCCUCUAGGUUAAAAUUAACUCAUAAAUAAUUGAGUUAUAGAAAACUUAUGUAAGUUCUCUAAAUUUUCAUAUUUCAACUUGUGUAUAAUUUAAUGAUGAGAAUAUUCAUUCUAUUUUUAUUUCUAUUAGUGAGUAGGAAGAAGUGUUGUAAUAAUGUUAGAUUAUUGCAAAAGAAACGUUAUUCAAUGGUAGUAUGCCAAUAUUCAAAUUUUUCACCAAUAUUCAAAUUUUUUCAAUGUCAAUAAAUUUUGCAACGUUAAAAUCAUUGAUUGGUUUUUAUUUAUUUUAUUUUUUCCUAUCUCUAUAAAUAGAGAGCUCUUCCCCCAUUCCAACAUACACCAAGUUAAUACUUUCUCAUUCUCCUCUCUUCUCAUUCUCUCUUCCUCUUCUAAAAAUUAUUAUGGGUAUAAACUCUAUCAGAUUUUUUUUUAGUUCUGUGAUUCUCGAAUAUUUUCGAGCAGUUCCUGUUGUAUCCUGGAGGAUUUGAGCAAUACACCGCAGAUAAGUCCUUAAGAAUAGUGAUCUACACGUAUCAGGAAAUUGCAGUUUGAAUUUUUGUCAGCAUUUUUACUACAAGUAGGUCAAACAUAUACUUAUAGAAUAAUUGGUUAAUAAUUAACAAAAUCAAACAAUUUAACAAUGGCGAAAUAGAGGAAUGGUCCCAUAGAUAUAGUAGGAUUUUUAUUAAAAUAAUUCAUUUGAAUCAAACAAAUAAUACAAACACUAUUGUAAUGCUUAUGAAUACAAUUAAGAGUUCUGAUGGAAAUCAGACACUAAUGUGAUGGAAUAAAUCAACAAAUGCAAUAAACAAACACACUAGUUGUGAGUUGAUGUAUUCUCGAAUCCCUAAAUAGAAGUAGAUGCUUCCUUUCACCUUAAAUAAAACUUGUAAUUCGCCAUAUAUGCAACAUUGGUAGGGCUUUGAAAUCAAUUGGGUCGAGUGGUUGAAGGUUUGGAGGUACUAUUCUUAGGAGGUGGUCUUGUUGUAUGGAUAAGAGCAUUCUGAAUGGUUAUGGCUCCACUACUUGAAGUUUUGGACUUGCUACUAUAAGAGGGUGGCCUUGUUAUGGGAGCAAGAACAUUCCGAAUUUGGUUUUGGGAACUCAUUGUGCAAUGGCUAAGUAAUUCCAAUCGGUGUAGGUUGUGUCUAUCAAUUCAGCUUAAUGCCGAUAAAACAUGGCAAUGCCUCUCUAUAUUUAUAAGGAAGCAUGCCUUCAUACACAACAUUCAUUUAAUGUAUGGAAAUUACGUAAGAAAUGGAAAUGGUAAUUUGCACAGAAAUUUCUCCCAUUUCUUUUGUUUCAUAGGGUUUGUGGCAGAAGCUGAAACCUCCAUGAACUGUUAUCCAACCUUGCCAUGCUAAUCAUUUUUCUUGUAAAUGCCAUGCUACACACAAUUGAACAUUACGCGGUCACUCACAAAACAUUAAACAGACAAGGAAUUUCUUCUCGCUUUCGCGUAAAUUAUAUCCAAAUUAUUUUAAGGAAGCUGAGAUUUUGACACUCUUGGUUUGACACAACUUUAACAACGCCACGUGUCAGCUUCUGAUUGGGCUUUUUUUUUUUAAAAAAAAUAACCAACAAUGUGACGUCAUUUAUGAGGAGCAGAUUUGAUAAUUUUGUUUCCAUGUUUGCCCUUGCCCAGAUUCAUGUGAAUGAAAUUUUCUUUCUUCCCUGCUUCAUCAGAAAAAGAGUUCCUCCGAUAACUUCUUUUUCUUCGCCGACGCUCUACGGAAAUCGUUUUGGGCUUCUUUUUCGCCAUUUGACUGUCGUUAGUCGUUGUGUUUGCACUGGUGGCCUUCCUUAUCGGUGUGGGUGUGGCGGUGAUUGGCUCUUUUCGUUCUUGGUGUGUUCGUGUUGCGAAAUGACGAGUUCUUCGAGCAAGGUAAGGGCAUUGUAUUGUGGGUUUUGUUGUUUAUUGUCUGGUGUAUGGAGUUUGGCUUUUGUAUGUCUUUUAUGAUUUAGGGUUUUUAAGUUUGGGUUUUUGCAAUGUGUGUGCAGUUGACGGUUCGUCACUCAGUUUCCACAAAGUUAAUCUCUGGUUUGAACAAACGUUUGAGUAAGGAGCACCGUUCAUUGAUUGUCGGGACUCCGUUUAGGUGGUUUUUAGAUUUGACUGGUAAUGUUAAAGCCGGCACUCCUAAGCAAAUUCGUUACACCACCAACUAAGCAACCAUCAUCCUCCAUUCCACCACCAACUGAGAAACCAUCAUCCUCCACACAAGAAAAUAACAUUUAGACUUUUGUGGAAUAACUAUUAGUACUGGUGAACUUAUGAAUAUUGUUCGGAUAACUGUAAUACACUUUUAUUAGCACUCCAACAUUUUGUGGGAUGAAUGUAUUAUUAAGAAUGUAGUCUUACAUUCUGUUAAUGUCAAUGUUAAUGAUGUUAUGUUAUUACUGCAGUCACGAAGGUCACAAAAAUGCUAUGUUUAUCAUUACUGUUGGCCAUACAUUGUAUGUUUCUUGCUUUCCUAAAUAAUAAAACACUACCAUGCAAAAAAAAACACAGUUAAUGGGGAUGGUCCUCUGCGUUCAAAAUUGUGGUCCCUGCUGGCCAGGAUUGUGUCCAAAUCCUGCAUUUGUCUCGCUGUAAUCGUUUACACACCAGUUGUAAACGAUUACAACAAAGUCAUAUGCUGCAGAACACUUUGGACUUUAACCAACCAUGUGGAAUCUCAAUGGUGGGUCAUUUACUACCUUUUUAGGUCUGCAAACAACACCUACCACACUUUUAGUACACUUCCAUGAAUAGACAUGACAGUUAAUGGGGAUGGUCCUCUGCGUUCAAAAUUUUGGUCCCUAGUGGCCAAGAUUGUGUCCAAAUCCUGCAUUUGCUUCGCUGUAAUCGUUUACACACCAGUUGUAAAUGAUUACAACAUAGUCAUAUGCUGCAGAACACUUUGGACUUCAACCAACCAUGUGGAAUCUCAAUGUUGGGUCAUUUACUACCUUUUUAGGUCUGCAGACAACACCUACCACACUUUUAGUUCACUUCCAUGAACAGAAAUGACAGUUAAUGGGGAUGAUCCUUUGCGUUAAAAAUUUUGGUCUCUGCUGGCUAAGAUUGUGUCCAAAUCCUGCAUUUGCCUCGUUGUAAUCGUUUACACACCAGUUAUAAACGAUUACACCACAGUCAUAUGCUGCAGAACACUUUGUACUUCAACCAACCAUGUGGAAGCUUAAUGUUGGAUCAUUUACUACCUUUUAAGGUCUGCAAACAACACCUACCACACUUUUAGUACACUACCAUGCACAAAAAACACAGUUAAUGAGGAUGGUCCUCUGCGUUCAAAAUUUUGGUCCCUGCUGGCCAUUAUUGUGUCCAAGUCGUGAAUUUGCCUCGCUGUAAUCGUUUACACACCAGUUGUAAACGAUUACAACACAGUCAUAUGCUGUAAAACACUUUGGACUUCAACCAACCUUGUGGAAGCUCAAUGUUGGAUCAUUUACUACCUUUUAAGGUCUGCAAACAACACCUACCACACUUUUAGUACACUACCAUGCACAAAAAACACAGUUAAUGGGUAUGGUCCUCUGCGUUCAAAAUUUUGGUCUCUGCUGGCCAGAAUUGUGUCCAAAUCCUGCAUUUGCCUCGCUGUAAUCGUUUACAACUGGUCUUCAACCAACUUUAAUAACUUUGGUAUUAUUUAAACGAAUUAUUAAUAUCGUGUUUUCGAAUACACAGACAAGGGA